This is a small nucleolar RNA of Vicugna pacos (alpaca), 143 nucleotides long. NCBI's taxonomy places the organism in Eukaryota, Metazoa, Chordata, Mammalia, Artiodactyla, Camelidae. The record is from Ensembl.
ACUGCACAUUGUUAGAGUUUGAAGUUGAGGCCACUGGUUGGCUGAUGAACUCACAAGUGUAGGUAGUGUGCUACAUGAGGGGCAGGUUUUUCAUUAACAUCACAAGGGAUGAGUAGAGUUUGACAGUAAUACUUGCUACAAGC